GGGAAUUAGCUCAGUUGGCUAGAGCGCCUGCUUUGCACGCAGGAGGUCAAGGGUUCGACUCCCUUAUUCUCC
RNAcentral lists this transfer RNA (72 nucleotides) under Rothia mucilaginosa. It matches the Rfam family "tRNA". Rfam says of the family: Transfer RNA (tRNA) molecules are approximately 80 nucleotides in length. Their secondary structure includes four short double-helical elements and three loops (D, anti-codon, and T loops). The record is from RNAcentral. Lineage: Bacteria; Bacillati; Actinomycetota; Actinomycetes; Micrococcales; Micrococcaceae.